This 428-nucleotide ribosomal RNA is filed under the name uncultured bacterium. RNAcentral describes it as "bacterial SSU rRNA". It matches the Rfam family "Bacterial small subunit ribosomal RNA", at positions 355 to 776 of the family's 1533-position model. The record is from RNAcentral.
UGGGGAAUUUUGCGCAAUGGGCGAAAGCCUGACGCAGCAACGCCGCGUGUGUGAUGAAGGUCUUCGGAUUGUAAAGCACUUUCGGCCGGGACGAAAACCCUGAGGCUAACAUCCUCAGGCUUGACGGUACCGGAAGAAGAAGCACCGGCUAACUCUGUGCCAGCAGCCGCGGUAAUACAGAGGGUGCAAGCGUUGUUCGGAAUUAUUGGGCGUAAAGCGCGUGUAGGCGGCUUUGCAAGUCGGGUGUGAAAGCCCUCGGCUCAACCGAGGAAGUGCGCCCGAAACUGCAGAGCUUGAGUACCGGAGAGGAUGGCGGAAUUCCCCAAGUAGAGGUGAAAUUCGUAGAUAUGGGGAGGAACACCGGUGGCGAAGGCGGCCAUCUGGACGGAUACUGACGCUGAGACGCGAAAGCGUGGGUAGCAAACAGG